ACGGGAGGCAGCAGUAGGGAAUAUUGCACAAUGGGGGAAACCCUGAUGCAGCGACGCCGCGUGAGUGAUGGAGUAUUUCGGUACGUAAAGCUCUAUCAGCAGGGAAGAUAAUGACGGUACCUGACUAAGAAGCCCCGGCUAACUACGUGCCAGCAGCCGCGGUAAUACGUAGGGGGCAAGCGUUAUCCGGAUUUACUGGGUGUAAAGGGAGCGUAGACGGCAAAGCAAGUCUGAAGUGAAAGCCCCGGGCUCAACCCGGGAACUGCUUUGGAAACUGUUUAGCUAGAGUGCAGGAGAGGUAAGUGGAAUUCCUAGUGUAGCGGUGAAAUGCGUAGAUAUUAGGAGGAACACCAGUGGCGAAGGCGGCUUACUGGACUGUAACUGACGUUGAGGCUCGAAAGCGUGGGGAGCAAACAGGAUUAGAUACCCUGGUA
This 434-nucleotide ribosomal RNA is filed under the name uncultured Clostridium sp. Its description in RNAcentral is "partial 16S ribosomal RNA". It matches the Rfam family "Bacterial small subunit ribosomal RNA", at positions 341 to 792 of the family's 1533-position model. Lineage: Bacteria; Bacillati; Bacillota; Clostridia; Eubacteriales; Clostridiaceae. The record is from RNAcentral.